CUGGCGGCGUGCCUACACAUGCAAGUCGAGCGCGAAUAGGGGCAACCCUUAGUAGAGCGGCGCACGGGUGCGUAACACGUGGAUAAUCUGCCUGGAUGCCCGGGAUAACCAGUCGAAAGAUUGGCUAAUACCGGAUAAGCCCACGGCCUCUUCGGAGACUGAGGGAAAAGGUGGCCUCUGUAUACAAGCUAUCACAACCAGAUGAGUCCGCGGCCCAUCAGCUAGUUGGCGGGGUAAUGGCCCACCAAGGCAACGACGGGUAGCUGGUCUGAGAGGACGAUCAGCCACACUGGAACUGAGACACGGUCCAGACUCCUACGGGAGGCAGCAGUGGGGAAUUUUGCGCAAUGGGCGAAAGCCUGACGCAGCAACGCCGCGUGUGUGAUGAAGGUCUUUGGAUUGUAAAGCACUUUCGACCGGGACGAAAACCCGUUGGCUAACAUCCAACGGCUUGACUGUACCGGGAGAAGAAGCACCGGCUAACUCUGUGCCAGCAGCCGCGGUAAU
This 507-nucleotide ribosomal RNA is filed under the name uncultured bacterium. Its description in RNAcentral is "bacterial SSU rRNA". It matches the Rfam family "Bacterial small subunit ribosomal RNA", at positions 36 to 524 of the family's 1533-position model. The record is from RNAcentral.